GGAUUUUUCUUGCAAUAGGAUUUUAUGUGUAAUCCUAUAGGAUCAAAUCCUACAUUCUAUCAUGAAUUUUAUCCUAAGUUUAUAAGUCCUAGACAUCCAAACAGACCUUUAAUAAAUAGGUUGGGUUUGGUUUGGCAAAUUUUUGACCCGACCUAUAUCUGAUCCGACCCGACCGAUAUCUGAUCCGACCCGACCGAUAUCUGACCUGACCCGGCCGAUUGCCACCCC
RNAcentral lists this long non-coding RNA (228 nucleotides) under Elaeis guineensis (African oil palm). Its description in RNAcentral is "long non-coding RNA (EGUI_LNC045375)". The record is from RNAcentral. Lineage: Eukaryota; Viridiplantae; Streptophyta; Magnoliopsida; Arecales; Arecaceae.